RNAcentral lists this transfer RNA (73 nucleotides) under Candidatus Aphodenecus pullistercoris. Its description in RNAcentral is "tRNA-Thr". It matches the Rfam family "tRNA". Rfam says of the family: Transfer RNA (tRNA) molecules are approximately 80 nucleotides in length. Their secondary structure includes four short double-helical elements and three loops (D, anti-codon, and T loops). Lineage: Bacteria; Pseudomonadati; Spirochaetota; Spirochaetia; Spirochaetales. The record is from RNAcentral.
GCCGACUUAGCUCAGCUGGCAGAGCAGCUGAUUUGUAAUCAGCCGGUCGUUGGUUCGAAUCCGACAGUCGGCU